This 428-nucleotide ribosomal RNA is filed under the name uncultured bacterium. RNAcentral describes it as "bacterial SSU rRNA". It matches the Rfam family "Bacterial small subunit ribosomal RNA", at positions 354 to 796 of the family's 1533-position model. The record is from RNAcentral.
GUAGGGAAUAUUGCACAAUGGGGGAAACCCUGAUGCAGCGACGCCGCGUGAGUGAUGAAGGCCUUCGGGUCGUAAAGCUCUGUCGUAUGGGACUAACACAAUGAAGGUACCAUGCAAGAAAGGAUCGGCUAACUUCGUGCCAGCAGCCGCGGUAAGACGAGGGAUCCUAGCGUUGUUCGGAAUCAUAGGGCGUAAAGCGGGUGUAGGCGGAUUUAUAAGUCAGGUGUGAAAUCCCAGGGCUCAACCCUGGAAGUGCACUUGAUACUGUAAAUCUUGAGUGUGGUAGAGGUUACUGGAAUUGUUGGUGUAGUGGUGAAAUACGUAGAUAUCAACAGGAAUACCGGAGGCGAAGGCGAGUAACUGGGCCAACACUGACGCUGAGACCCGAAAGCGUGGGGAUCAAACAGGAUUAGAUACCCUGGUAGUCC